CCGAGUUUACAACUCCCAAACCCCUGUGAACUUAUACCUUUACUGUUGCUUCGGCGGGUCAUUGCCCCGGGGAAAAGACAGGUGUGGCCGUCAGGUCUCCCUGCCCGACCCCCCGGAAACAGGCGCCCGCCGGGGGACUCAAACUCUCAUGUAUUUUUGUUUACUGUAUACUGUCUGAGUAAAAAUUACAAAUGAAUCA
Molecule: unclassified non-coding RNA, 199 nt
Filed under: uncultured Paecilomyces
Lineage: Eukaryota; Fungi; Ascomycota; Eurotiomycetes; Eurotiales; Thermoascaceae
Description: sequence contains ITS1
Source: RNAcentral